AACCCUUCAUGAUGCAGAGAACAGAAGGUGCCCUGAAGGUAGGGGAAGGAGAGGGUCUGCUAAACCCUGGGUUGGAGAGAAAGCAGUGGGUUUCCAUGGAGAAAGGAUAAAAAUAGGACUGAAGUGCGACUUUGCCAGGGGCUAAGACCGUGAUUCCCAAGGGUGGUUACUGUCAGAAUCACCUGUAGAACCACAGCCAGUUUGAAAAGCUCAGGUUCUAUUUCCAGACAUUCAGCAAAUCGGAGGUGAGGUCUGGGACAUGGCUGUUCAGCAAACGUCCACAUGAUUAAGACGUAAUCUGAGUGGAAAUCAGGGCAACACUUGUCAAAAGACCGGUCUAGUGACAAAAUUCUCCUGAGAAAAUGCGGGGGUGGGGCGAGAACGGAACCCACCAACACCCCAGCUGUGACCCGCCUGGGGGUGGGGGGGGGCCUAGUCCUGCCCUGUUCUCAGCAACCUCUUGUGACCACAGGCCCGGAGGGCCCAGUGAGAAGGGGGCAGCACAGGCAGUAAAGGGAUCAGGGCCUUCCAGGAAUCGGGUUUGAUCAGCCCAAACUCCACCUGCUAGUUAAACCAGGCAGUUCACAGUGCAUCCGGCUAGUGGGCAAACCAGGGAGGUAUAACUUUUUUUUUUUUUUUUUCCCUAAAUCAUGAUGCAAUCUGAUCACAAAGCCCCACAUUUAUCAGGUUUCGAUUUCUGUGUCAAGUUAGACACCGACUCUCCAUGGGAAUCCCAUGAGGUACAUGGCAUGAUGCUGAUCUGACCAGGAGCUCAUCUAAAGCAGGUUCUCGGACUGCCUCACUCCCUGCCCAGCCCUCCGGAUGAUCUGUUCGCACGCUACCUAGCACACUCUGCAGCAGCACGAUGGGAGUGAAAAAGCACAGACAAAUUCAGGUUCAAAUCUGCCAUGGGCCAGCGGGGCCUGACUUCGAACUGUAGUUCUGCCACUGACGGACCAAUAGAUGAUCUUUAAAGUGUCAGGUAACAUCUCCCAAAUGCCUCCCUGAUGUAAGUGCACAAAACACGCCAGGAUUACCAGAGGUCUCUCUGCUGCUCACAGAAACUAGAUGUGACACGCCUCGGACCGGGCUUCAUUUCGUCAUCGACCACUCACCCUGUAAGCUCUAUAUGCAUUUUAACAGCGGAGGGAAACGCAUCCGAGU
Acinonyx jubatus (cheetah) is the source of this 1164-nucleotide long non-coding RNA. RefSeq lists it as uncharacterized. The record is from RefSeq and is a predicted model, not a curated record. Lineage: Eukaryota; Metazoa; Chordata; Mammalia; Carnivora; Felidae. The transcript is spliced from 3 exons.